Molecule: non-coding RNA, 88 nt
Filed under: Streptomyces albireticuli
Lineage: Bacteria; Bacillati; Actinomycetota; Actinomycetes; Kitasatosporales; Streptomycetaceae
Also listed under: 57 other names
Description: partial 16S ribosomal RNA
Rfam family: Bacterial small subunit ribosomal RNA
Source: RNAcentral
UUCACGGAGAGUUUGAUCCUGGCUCAGGACGAACGCUGGCGGCGUGCUUAACACAUGCAAGUCGAACGAUGAAGCCCUUCGGGGUGGA